UAUUGACUUUGUAAGAGCUUUGCAAAGUCAAGGUUUGUUUUGGAUGACUUGGAUUUUGUGAAAUAAAAUAGGGUUUAUAUUUUGGAUGAUUUAAAGAGUUUUGUAAUAGAUCUAUGGGUGAAAUUUUGUGGAUUAAUGGUUAUAGUUGUGUUCAAUAUGUAUUGUAAAUUUGAGCUUGAUCUAACGGUUGAAUUAAGGAUUAUUGAGGUUUAAA
RNAcentral lists this long non-coding RNA (214 nucleotides) under Physcomitrium patens. RNAcentral describes it as "long non-coding RNA (PPAT_LNC014266)". Lineage: Eukaryota; Viridiplantae; Streptophyta; Bryopsida; Funariales; Funariaceae. The record is from RNAcentral.